GCGUGCGGGAAGAAGGCCUUCGGGUUGUAAACCGCUUUUGGCAGGAACGAAACGGUGCGGGCGAAUACCCUGUGCUAAUGACGGUACCUGCAGAAUAAGCACCGGCUAACUACGUGCCAGCAGCCGCGGUAAUACGUAGGGUGCGAGCGUUAAUCGGAAUUACUGGGCGUAAAGCGUGCGCAGGCGGUUGUGCAAGACAGGUGUGAAAUCCCCGGGCUUAACCUGGGAACUGCAUUUGUGACUGCACGGCUAGAGUUUGUCAGAGGGGGGUGGAAUUCCACGUGUAGCAGUGAAAUGCGU
Molecule: ribosomal RNA, 300 nt
Filed under: uncultured bacterium
Lineage: Bacteria
Description: bacterial SSU rRNA
Rfam family: Bacterial small subunit ribosomal RNA
Source: RNAcentral